ACCUUCCGCUACGAUAAGAAACGAUGGCCCUCAUACGAUUAAAAAUGUCCAUACAGUCGCUAUGAAACCGUGGCACUCAACUGGAUAAUUGGACAGAUCUGGGUCAUGCGGAGUUAAUGAAGUAUUUGUUGAAGUGCAAUUUGCUUGAAAAAAAAAGUUUAUCUUGGAACUUUUUUCCUCUCACGCUAUCUGUCAAAUGUUUCUCCGAUCAAAGAAACGAACGUUUUCGUGACUCGGACUUAGUUUAUUUAUGUUUGUGUCCGAAGCAAAAUUUUACUCGAGAAAGUAAUCAGUUUGAUUAAAAAUGCGUUGUUCAGUGAAAGACUGUCCGAAUUAGAGUAGAAAUACCCGCGUAAGUUUUCAUCGUUUCACCUCGGAACAAAUGCACUUUGUCGGUUUUCGUGGAAACGACAGACUUAUUCCGAACAAGGAUACCCGUGUCUGUAGAUCGAAAUGAAAAGGGAACCUGGUAAAACUUCGAAACGGUCUCCAACAAUUAGGCCGAUUUUCGAGCAAGAGGACUACGUCCAUCAUCAUAACGUAGCGCAGAUUGUUUAGCCACUAUAUUCAUAACUACGCAGAUUUCAUCCUAAUCCAUGGAGUGGUGAGAACAUCGCAGAAUCUGAGUGUGAAAUUCCGAUUUUUUUUUCUAAAAAUUUGCGAAACUCUACUCAUCGGUCCGGAAAAAAUGUUGUGCUAAAUAUCAAAGAUUGCACGAAAUGUGGCAAAAGAAAUCUCAGUAUUGGAAGUUCAAGAAAUUCAAUCAGCUGAACAAGCAGUUCGAAGAUCCACAACGCCUCAGUAAAGUGUACUAUGAAGACCAGAUUCAGGUGGCAACAAUAGCCGAAGUAUGUUCAUUUAAGUAUUAUUCAUUGAUCCAGAUUUUUUUUUGCCUUUUGUAUGAACUCGAAUGGAAUAAAUGGUGUAAUUUGUAUUUUUAUUUUAA
This is a long non-coding RNA of Toxorhynchites rutilus septentrionalis, 946 nucleotides long. RefSeq lists it as uncharacterized. The record is from RefSeq and is a predicted model, not a curated record. Lineage: Eukaryota; Metazoa; Arthropoda; Insecta; Diptera; Culicidae. The transcript is spliced from 3 exons.